This 478-nucleotide ribosomal RNA is filed under the name uncultured bacterium. Its description in RNAcentral is "partial 16S ribosomal RNA". It matches the Rfam family "Bacterial small subunit ribosomal RNA", at positions 28 to 523 of the family's 1533-position model. The record is from RNAcentral.
GACGAACGCUAGCGGCGUGCUUAACACAUGCAAGUCGAACGGUAAGGCCCUUCGGGGUACACGAGUGGCGAACGGGUGAGUAACACGUGGGUGAUCUGCCCUGCACUUCGGGAUAAGCCUGGGAAACUGGGUCUAAUACCGGAUAGGACCCUGGGAUGCAUGUCCUGGGGUGGAAAGCUUUUGCGGUGUGGGAUGGGCCCGCGGCCUAUCAGCUUGUUGGUGGGGGGAUGGCCUACCAAGGCGACGACGGGUAGCCGGCCUGAGAGGGUGACCGGCCACACUGGGACUGAGAUACGGCCCAGACUCCUACGGGAGGCAGCAGUGGGGAAUAUUGCACAAUGGGCGCAAGCCUGAUGCAGCGACGCCGCGUGAGGGAUGACGGCCUUCGGGUUGUAAACCUCUUUCAGCACCGACGAAGCGCAAGUGACGGUAGGUGCAGAAGAAGGACCGGCCAACUACGUGCCAGCCGCCGCGGUAA